UAAAAUAGGAAAAAGUGUAGAAAAAUCUUAAAAGUGUAAAAAAAAAAAACAAUUUUUAUAAGAAAGUCAGGAUGCACAAAUAUAACAAUAGAAAUAAUGAUAAUACUGCAAUAACUUUCAGCGAUUGCCACUCGAAUACGAUACUUUCUAAAAAAAAAUAAAUCCCUAUUCCAUAUUAAUAGUUUAGCAGUUUAUUUCGUAUUAUCUGAUUUUACUCUAUUUGGGAUAGAAAUUUUUCGAUCGCCAGAGAACGUUUCAUCUCGCGCCAGGCUUAAUACUCUCGCGAAUUCCCGCGUACGUAUUAAUGUGCGAUUACUCACGUUGACACGUCAACGAGUAUUCCGAAAUGGUUCCAGACCGAAUGUCCGCGUGCGUCACGCAGCUCGCCACCGUGUGACGGCGACGGCUAUCGACGCCCACUUGAUACACGUGCGUGUGUAUAUCGUCGUCGUCAUCGUCGUCGUCGUCUAUCAACAAAAGGCUCCACUUGCGAGCAUUGACGGUCAGCGUACGUAUAUACGUACUCACAUAUAUGUAUAUAUAUAUCGGCAAAACGUAUAUCUUGUGUUAAUAUUAUCGCAGUACCAUUCACGGCUUUCCACGGUGCAAACGCACGCAUUGCGUGCGAGCCGCAAUGACGUCCGGCGAGAGAAUGAGGGAAAGAGAGAGAGAGAGAGAGAGAGAGAGAGAGCGAGAGAACAGGAAAAACGGGAGGAUAGGGACGGACGUCCGUAACAAAGAAGAAAGGGGGAGACAAAAAGAAGAAUGAAAGCUUCACCCACGCGGCCUGCAAAUUCCGCACAAAAGCGGACAAAAGCCGUGCUUACAUCCUUAGCGACACGCAGAGGAGCGUCGACUACCUGCACUGUCUUCGCAGCAAGCCUCUACGACGUUUCCAUAAAUUGUCAAGAAUUGUCACGAAUGAAGAUACAUUUGAAAAAGGCGAAAUAACUGUUCAAAAAUAUUUAGGCCCUCAAGACACCCAAUCGUGCCCUGAAGAAAGGGUUUGGUAAUAACUACCAAAUGUUGGGUGAAAUAAUUGGCACUUGUAAUUGGUUACCAAAAAUAAUUUUCCUAAGAUUCCAAACCGUCCUUUCCGAGGAAAACUUUGUUCGAAAUACAUAGCACACGUAACGUGUAAAAUUUCCCUCGGAGAGGAUAUUUUGGAAUGUAGAUUAAGUAUUUAAUAAGAAUCACCAAAUUUGUCUAUCCGUGUUCGAUCGAUUUAUAUCCAUGGAAGUUUCUCGAAAUUUCAAAAAUAAUCGAAUUUUUAAUACAUUUUAUUUUUGUCCAAACGUACAGAAGCUUGUUCUAAAAAUUUGAACAAAUAUUUAUGAACUUUUAGGAUCUUUUUUUGUGCUCUCAAAAAAGAUUUUUAAUAACAAGACUAAAAAUAUUUUUGACGUGCUCAAUCUUAUGCUAUAUAGAACUAAAGUAAUGUGAAAAAAGCUGCAAGGUCGAUAAUUGUUCUGUGUCGAAUUAUAUAAGAUUAAAUUAUUAUACAAGAGUUAUACGUGUAAAUUUCAGCUAUACUUUUUACAUAAAAAUUUAUUUGAUGUUAUAAUGUACGAUGAUUAAUCGCUACGCAGUUCGGAACAUCGUCGACAGGGAACUGUGCGGACAAGCACUUUCCCAUAAGAAACGACGCGAUGCAUUAUAAUUAAUGCAUCCGCGGAAAACCCAACAAACUUUGUCCACGGGAUGAAGUAUUUUUAGUAGUCCACAAAAUGAGCUUCUUUGUGGGUUAUUGUGAUU
Solenopsis invicta (red fire ant) is the source of this 1755-nucleotide long non-coding RNA. RefSeq lists it as uncharacterized. The transcript is spliced from 2 exons. The record is from RefSeq and is a predicted model, not a curated record. NCBI's taxonomy places the organism in Eukaryota, Metazoa, Arthropoda, Insecta, Hymenoptera, Formicidae.